UAUAUACUCCCUCCGUUCCUAAAUACUUGUCUUUCUAGGCAUUUCAAAUGACUACUACAUACGGAUGUAUGUAGACAUAUUUUAGAGUGUCGAUUCACUCAUUUUGCUCCGUAUGUAGUCAUUUGUUGAAAUGCCUAGAAAGACAAGUAUUUAGGAACGGAGGGAGUACUAU
This is a non-coding RNA of Triticum aestivum (bread wheat), 172 nucleotides long. NCBI's taxonomy places the organism in Eukaryota, Viridiplantae, Streptophyta, Magnoliopsida, Poales, Poaceae. The record is from Rfam.